CUUUUUUGCUAUCUGCUCAAGUUCAAAAUUCGGACCUGCGGCAGGUUCGGGUCGAACGUAGUGAGACAACGGAGCCGCUUGCGGCGACGGCCCGAAGGCGAGUAAAGCGAGUCAUCCUGCACCACCCUCCA
Molecule: small RNA, 131 nt
Filed under: Kosakonia sp. SOY2
Lineage: Bacteria; Pseudomonadati; Pseudomonadota; Gammaproteobacteria; Enterobacterales; Enterobacteriaceae
Also listed under: 2 other names
Description: RtT sRNA
Rfam family: RtT RNA
About the family: This family represents a bacterial cis-regulatory element known as RtT RNA. The exact function of RtT is unknown although it is thought that it may be involved in changing the cellular response in relation to amino acid starvation.
Source: RNAcentral